This is a long non-coding RNA of Juglans microcarpa x Juglans regia, 176 nucleotides long. RefSeq lists it as uncharacterized. Lineage: Eukaryota; Viridiplantae; Streptophyta; Magnoliopsida; Fagales; Juglandaceae. The transcript has 2 exons. The record is from RefSeq and is a predicted model, not a curated record.
AGAGAGAGAGAGAGAGAGAGAGAGAGAGAGAGAGAUUUUUCUCAAUGAUACUUUAUAGUUCGUGUGAGGUGAAGGGGAAUGGGCUAGGAAUUCCAUCUGUAUAAGGAAUUUCAAUUGUGGGUAAGUUACUUUCUUAAAAACUUUCAAACAGCCAAUUAUAUGGGUCGCAAACCAAA